This 132-nucleotide non-coding RNA is filed under the name Trichlorobacter ammonificans. Lineage: Bacteria; Pseudomonadati; Thermodesulfobacteriota; Desulfuromonadia; Geobacterales; Geobacteraceae. The record is from RNAcentral.
GACCCCAUUGCUACAACGGGUCACUAUUCGCGUCGGACCAGGGGAAGGAGGUGCAAAUCCUCCGCUGUCCCGCAGCCGUAACAGGAACUGUUUCCUGAAGCCGGAAUGCCUGCCCGAUGCAUGCUUUACCGA